RNAcentral lists this ribosomal RNA (718 nucleotides) under Pristimantis sp. QCAZ60016. RNAcentral's name for it is "partial large subunit ribosomal RNA". The stretch from base 450 to 700 matches the Rfam family "Archaeal large subunit ribosomal RNA", at positions 1787 to 2143 of the family's 2987-position model. Lineage: Eukaryota; Metazoa; Chordata; Amphibia; Anura; Strabomantidae. The record is from RNAcentral.
UUAGCGAUAGCUGGUUUCUCAGGAAAAGAAUAUUAGUCCAACCUAAAGUAAUAAAAAUAUAACAAAAUAACCCCUAUACUUUAGAGCAAUUCAAAUAAGGUACAGCCUAUUUGAUACGGGAUACAACCCCAAAUAAAGGGUUAACUUCAAAUUCUUAACUUAAGUUGGCCUAAAAGCAGCCACCUUUUAAAAAGCGUCAAAGCUUAAUAAAAUAUAAUCUAAUUUGUCACUUUUUAGUUACCCCUUCUCCAUUACUGAGAAAUUCUAUAAAAUUAUAGAAAUUUUUAUGCUAAAACUAGUAACAAGAGGUUACCCCUCUCCAAGAUGUAAGCACAAACCAGAAAGAAUCGAUCACUGGUAUCUAACAAACUUUUACUAAAGUAAUAACCCCCCCUAGAAAACAUUACUAUUAUUUUUAUUGUUAACCUAACACAAGAGCAUCCCAAGAAAGAUUAAAAGAAAAAGAAGGAACUCGACAAACACUAGCCCCGCCUGUUUACCAAAAACAUCACCUCUUGACUACUAUAAGAGGCCAAGCCUGCCCAGUGACCUAAAUGUUCAACGGCCGCGGUAUCCUAACCGUGCAAAGGUAGCGUAAUCACUUGUCUCCUAAAUAGAGACUAGUAUGAAAGGCUUCACGAGGGUUAAACUGUCUCCUUUCUCCAAUCAGUGAACCUAAUCCCCCCGUGAAGAAGCGGGGAAAACAUAUAAGAAGAAG